GCAAAAUGUGUUCUUUUUCAUUUAAGCUCAGUAGGUGUCAAUGGGUAGAGACAAGAGACAUUUCAUUCUUAGAAAAAGGGAAAUUUAGAUUCCAAGAAAUGAUCAAAUUGGUCUCUACCCAUUGUAUUAUGUCGAACAGAAAACUAGUGUUUUUGUACAUAUAGCUUCAAGCUUUCCUACUUGAUUAUUUCCAUAGAAGGGUCCACCAAUAUGCUAUCUUUAGACAAGGAGUAUAAAU
RNAcentral lists this unclassified non-coding RNA (238 nucleotides) under Hevea brasiliensis (rubber tree). Lineage: Eukaryota; Viridiplantae; Streptophyta; Magnoliopsida; Malpighiales; Euphorbiaceae. The record is from RNAcentral.